CACAUCCAGUACAUGAAUAAAUGAAAAACGCAAGUUACAAAACAUUACAGAGGUAAAAUCAUAAAUAUAGUCCCUGAAUUUCAUGGCCACCUGACCUUCACAUGAAGCUCAUAUUAAAGCCAUCUAUAGAGCAUGUUUUCCUGAAAACUUGACAAGUGAGUACACACAACCUCUCUUUCUUUGGUCAUGUGGAGAUAGGAGUUUUGUACCAUAAAAGGCAUAGCCCAAAGUGUCAAUUGUUUAGCUCCCUAAGAGGCAGGCCCAUGGUCGUCUUAAAUGCCAGCAGCAGGUUGAAGUCACCUGGAAUGGUGUUUCAGAGAAAUCCUCUUUAGUAUAGGGAAGGCUUGUAGUCUGAGAAAUCAUUCCAUGUUGGAAUUGGGAAUAAAGACAGUCCUCUCACCAUCCU
RNAcentral lists this long non-coding RNA (406 nucleotides) under Homo sapiens (human). Its description in RNAcentral is "non-protein coding LINC01947:5". Lineage: Eukaryota; Metazoa; Chordata; Mammalia; Primates; Hominidae. The record is from RNAcentral.